ACUCAAAUGAAUAGACGGGGGCCCGCACAAGCGGCGGAGCAUGUGGAUUAAUUCGAUGCAACGCGAAGAACCUUACCUGGGUUUGACAUGCACUGGAAAGCUUCAGAGAUGGAGCCCCCCUUGUGGUCAGUGUGCAGGUGGUGCAUGGCUGUCGUCAGCUCGUGUCGUGAGAUGUUGGGUUAAGUCCCGCAACGAGCGCAACCCUCGUUCCAUGUUGCCAGCGCGUAAUGGCGGGGACUCAUGGGAGACUGCCGGGGUCAACUCGGAGGAAGGUGGGGAUGACGUCAAGUCAUCAUGCCCCUUAUGUCCAGGGCUUCACACAUGCUACAAUGGCUAGUACAGAGGGCUGCGAGACCGUGAGGUGGAGCGAAUCCCUUAAAGCUGGUCUCAGUUCGGAUUGGGGUCUGCAACUCGACCCCAUGAAGUCGGAGUCGCUAGUAAUCGCAGAUCAGCAACGCUGCGGUGAAUACGUUCCCGGGCCUUGUACACACCGCCCGU
RNAcentral lists this ribosomal RNA (498 nucleotides) under uncultured bacterium. Its description in RNAcentral is "partial 16S ribosomal RNA". It matches the Rfam family "Bacterial small subunit ribosomal RNA", at positions 899 to 1397 of the family's 1533-position model. The record is from RNAcentral.